UGGCGGCAGGCUUAACACAUGCAAGUCGAGCGCCCCGCAAGGGGAGCGGCAGACGGGAGAGUAACACGUGGGAACGUACCUUUCAGUUCGGAACAACCAAGGGAAACUUUGGCUAAUACCGGAUACGCCCGUAAGGGGAAAGAUUCAUCGCUGAGAGAUCGGCCCGCGUCUGAUUAGCUAGUUGGUGGGGUAAUGGCCCACCAAGGCGACGAUCAGUAGCUGGUCUGAGAGGAUGAUCAGCCUCACUGGGACUGAGACACGGCCCAGACUCCUACGGGAGGCAGCAGUGGGGAAUAUUGGACAAUGGGCGCAAGCCUGAUCCAGCCAUGCCGCGUGGAUGAUGAAGGNCUUAGGGUUGUAAAGUCC
RNAcentral lists this ribosomal RNA (366 nucleotides) under uncultured bacterium. RNAcentral's name for it is "bacterial SSU rRNA". It matches the Rfam family "Bacterial small subunit ribosomal RNA", at positions 37 to 433 of the family's 1533-position model. The record is from RNAcentral.